UACGGAGUUAGCCGGAGCUUAUUCUCCAGGUACUGUCAUUAUCAUCCCUGGUAAAAGAGCUUUACAACCCUAAGGCCUUCAUCACUCACGCGGCAUUGCUGGAUCAGGGUUUCCCCCAUUGUCCAAUAUUCCCCACUGCUGCCUCCCGUAGGAGUCUGGGCCGUGUCUCAGUCCCAGUGUGGCUGAUCAUCCUCUCAGACCAGCUAAGGAUCGUCGGCUUGGUAGGCCAUUACCCCACCAACUACCUAAUCCUACGCGGGCUCAUCCCUUGCCGAUAAAUCUUUGGUCCGAAGACAUCAUCCGGUAUUAGCAGCAAUUUCUCACUGUUAUUCCGAAGCAAGGGGCAGAUUCCCACGCGUUACGCACCCGUGCGCCACUAGAUCCGAAGAUCUCGUUCGACUUGCAUGUGUUAGGCAUGCCGCCAGCGUCGUUCUGAGCCAGGAUCAAACUC
This 451-nucleotide ribosomal RNA is filed under the name uncultured Novosphingobium sp. Its description in RNAcentral is "partial 16S ribosomal RNA". Lineage: Bacteria; Pseudomonadati; Pseudomonadota; Alphaproteobacteria; Sphingomonadales; Sphingomonadaceae. The record is from RNAcentral.